UACGUAGGGGGCAAGCGUUGUCCGGAUUUAUUGGGCGUAAAGAGCGUGUAGGCGGCCAUACAGGUCAGCUGUGAAAACUCGAGGCUCAACCUCGAGACGUCGGUUGAAACCGUAUGGCUAGAGUCCGGAAGAGGAGAGUGGAAUUCCCGGUGUAGCGGUGAAAUGCGCAGAUAUCGGGAAGAACACCUAUGGCGAAGGCAGCUCUCUGGGACGGUACUGACGCUGAGACGCGAAAGCAUGGGGAGCGAACAGG
RNAcentral lists this ribosomal RNA (253 nucleotides) under uncultured bacterium. RNAcentral describes it as "partial 16S ribosomal RNA". It matches the Rfam family "Bacterial small subunit ribosomal RNA", at positions 524 to 776 of the family's 1533-position model. The record is from RNAcentral.